This 1319-nucleotide long non-coding RNA is filed under the name Mus musculus (house mouse). RNAcentral's name for it is "long non-coding RNA chr2:3284284-3285603". Lineage: Eukaryota; Metazoa; Chordata; Mammalia; Rodentia; Muridae. The record is from RNAcentral.
GGAGCCGCCGCGAUGGCGGAGGACAGCGAGUCUGCGGCCAGCCAGCAGAGCCUAGAGCUGGACGACCAGGACACGUGCGGAAUAGACGGAGACAAUGAGGAGGAGACCGAACACGCCAAAGGGUAGGAGGUGGCGCGCGGGCGCGACAGGGCGGGGACCGCGCGCACCUCAGGGCUCCCGCGCCCGCUCGUGGCGUGCGGGAGCCCCUAGACCGGAGGCUCCGUUUGGCGGUGUCCUCAUCCCGAGACCAUUGUGAGGUGCAGGUCUCCCAGCUCUCGGGGAGCACGCAGUGGUGGGCGAGGGCUGAGGUGGGCGGGGAGACUGCGACUCGGGCCCGGGAACCCGCGACGCGACAGUCACCUGCCGCGCGCCCCCGCUGGCUUGGCCUCACCCUACCACGGCGAGUGGUUCGGGUGGGAACUUAGCAAGGACGCAAGGCCCUUCCCUUUGCGGUGGCGGCGUCUUGGACCGGCGAGGCGAGGGAGAUGCAAGUCGUUCCACUUGUGCCUUGGCAUCCUUCUAGUUCUUUCGCGCCCCCCCCCCCCAGCCGCCACUAACCCCCUGUAGAGAGGAAACCCGCAGAGCCGGCGGUGGGGGUGGGAUAGGGAUGCGCCUCUGGCGGUCUCGGCUGCUGGCGACGAACUGCGCAAAGUUCUGCCUCCCAGGCCGGGAAAGGGGCGCCGAGACCGGGAGAGGGGGAGGGAGACAGGUCUCAGCCGACGCCUGAGGGCGUUCAGCUUUGCGGCCUCUGAGCGUGCCCUCAGAGCUUUCUAGAGCAGAGCUGACGGGUGAACGGAGUUCCCGCGGCCCCGACCUUGCCCCUCCUGCAAAACUGGUGUCUGAUCUCCAAAGCCAAAUGCACCAAGUACUUUAACAUUUGAUCGGUUUCUCAAUCUAUGCUGCCCUCUUUUCUCCCCUACAGACUUGAUUUUUUUUUCUUCGAGAAAAGACUGCUUCUGGUUAAGGCUGGUAUUGAAGUUCUGUUUUAGAGGCGGGGUUUGGAGGAUCAUUUUAAAUAAAGACCGGUGUCCCUUUGUAGGUGCUGUUUGCCUCAGCCUUUUACCCUGUUGGAUUCAAACUAUGCGCUGGCACAGACUGUUACUGCUGCCCCUUAGAAGUGAGAUUCUGCGAACCAUGGUGACUGGAGAAGUGGGUCAGCCUAAAAACACGAUAGGGAAGCCUGAGUCACAGAUGGCUUAUUUAUUCAGUUCAUGGAGAGUCUUUAAAGUAUUUGUAUUUUAUUUCAACGUUUACUUUAAGCUUUAAGAAAGGAGGCUGUAUUGAUCUUGAAUACGUUAUCAGAUAUUAAAUGACAAAUG